Molecule: ribosomal RNA, 193 nt
Filed under: uncultured rumen bacterium
Lineage: Bacteria
Description: partial 16S ribosomal RNA
Rfam family: Bacterial small subunit ribosomal RNA
Source: RNAcentral
UACGGGAGGCAGCAGUGGGGAAUCUUCCGCAAUGGGCGAAAGCCUGACGGAGCAACGCCGCGUGAGUGAAGAAGGUCUUCGGAUCGUAAAGCUCUGUUGUCGGGGACGAAUGUACCUUUUGUGAAUAAUGAGAGGUAAUGACGGUACCUGACGAGGAAGCCACGGCUAACUACGUGCCAGCAGCCGCGGUAAU